Cololabis saira (Pacific saury) is the source of this 580-nucleotide long non-coding RNA. RefSeq lists it as uncharacterized. The record is from RefSeq and is a predicted model, not a curated record. The transcript has 2 exons. Lineage: Eukaryota; Metazoa; Chordata; Actinopteri; Beloniformes; Belonidae.
AACUUUCAGCUUUGUUGAGUUUGGCGCCUCCUUUGGACAAAAAUCGGUAGUGCUUUACCAGAAAGAACACUCCAUUUCCCAUGAGCACCAGCGCGUACUGCCGGAAAACCCCCGUCCCCGCCGCUGCAUUUGUUUUGAUGAGAGAAGACGGGACGGACUUUCAAAACGACUUUUCUGUUUUCAGCGGUCGUUUGCAGGAUGGAUAAUGAAGAGGAAUCUGCUGUUCGUGAGAACACCUCUACCUCUGCAUCAUCAGAGUUUGAACCCCCACAAAGACAGAACCGACACGCAGCAUAUAUAUCAUAUAUAUAUGCAUAUAUAUAUAUAUAUAUCAUAUAUAUAUAUGCAUAUAUAUACAUAUCGCCAGUUUGUGCUCUGGCAGCAUGAUGUUUGGAAAAUAAGAGACACCUUUCCAGACCCAAUGGGACAGUACACUGGUUUCAGGGCUCCCCGUCUUCUCUAGAAUGGAACCUUUAUGAGGAUUACUGCAAAUAUUUUGAUAUUGUUUUUUUUUUUUGUUCCAUUUUUUCCUGUACAGUUGUUUUUGUGUGUUUAAAAUAAAGACAUUUGUGCAAAACAA